This 406-nucleotide ribosomal RNA is filed under the name uncultured bacterium. RNAcentral's name for it is "partial 16S ribosomal RNA". It matches the Rfam family "Bacterial small subunit ribosomal RNA", at positions 30 to 526 of the family's 1533-position model. The record is from RNAcentral.
AUUGAACGCUGGCGGCAGGCCUAACACAUGCAAGUCGAGCGCGCGGCGGAGGGGUGAGUAAAGUCUGGGAAACUGCCUGAUGGAGGGGGAUAACUACUGGAGACGGUAGCUAAUACACCAUACGCUAUGAUGUGCCCAGAUGGGAUUAGCUAGUGGGUGGGGUAAUGGCUCACCUAGGCGACGAUCCCUAGCUGGUCUGAGAGGAUGACCAGCCACACUGGAACUGAGACACGGUCCAGACUCCUACGGGAGGCAGCAGUGGGGAAUAUUGCACAAUGGGCGCAAGCCUGAUGCAGCCAUGCCGCGUGUAUGAAGAAGGCCUUCGGGUUGUAAAGUACUUUCAGCGAGGAGGCGUUACUCGCAGAAGAAGCACCGGCUAACUCCGUGCCAGCAGCCGCGGUAAUAC